GGCUACGUUAAUGACAGUACCUUGGACAUGGUAGGCUAGAAAGUCAUGUAGAGCAUUAAAUUGUGUAGGUUCUGAGGGAGAACAUCUCAGCUAAGGUGAAUAUUCACAUAUCUUUAACAUAUAAAGUGAUGGUCAUGGCGAGGUCUCUAUGGGUAAAUUCACGCAGGCGGCAAUUACAUGAUGAAAAAAACAAAGACCAGCUGAAAAAAUGCUGAAAUUUCUAUUUCCGUGCCCCAUCCACCUGCAUCUUCUUGAGCCAUUCGACGUUUACAUUUAUUGUCCCAGAUCAACUCCAGGGAUGCCCUUUCUCAAUCGUUUCUUCUUCUUCUCAGAUAAUGUAAGUGUGUUACAUCCGUCAUUAGGAAACCACUGUCUUGCUGCAUUUUUAAGAAAUUUUAGACUAUUGCAUUUCUUAUGCAUUCAUUUUUCUGAAGUCCAAUGACAUGCAGUGAAAUGAACAAGCCUUAAAUGAACAGUUAAGAAAGUUGAACACAUGCAUAGCCCACGUAGCCCGCUCUACAGUCAUAAUAAAAGGCAUCUUAUCAUCCCAGAAGGCUCCCUUCUUUUUUCUCUUGCAAGUGUGGUGUUGGGAAAUGUGUGAUUUAUGCAGUAGGAAUAGUUGCUGCCUUAUUUCUGUCAAUAAGGCAUCAAUGCUUGAGUUGCAAUUUUAAGCUUUAUACUAGUGAUGUAUUAUGUAUGUGGGUUAGGAAGUCCUGGACUGUGGAUUCGGCGUAAAUGGUCCCUUGAUAAUCGUCUGUGAGUGGAUCCAGUACUUCUGCUCUGUUUGUUCUGUAUGUGCCUGAAACAGCUGUUUUCCCUGAUGCUCAGAGGUUCUUCCUGUGUGAGUCCCAAGCACAGAUCUUUGUUGUGUCGGGUAUUUUCCACGGCCUGGACACCAAGCAAAGGAGAUCAGAAGCCCCAGAGGGGACUUGACAUCAGAAGGUUUUUGUCUAUUGCCAUGUACUCCCCUAAGACGCUGUCUCUUUAGCUGGCCCUUUUCAGCCUUUCCGCCCAUAGGAAAACAAGUGGGCAGGCAGCUGUUUUCCAGCUCUCUGAAUGCCGAGUGCGUUCCAGGCAGAGAAAAUAAUAAGACACGUGGGUCACAGUAUCAGCCCCAGACACUUUUGCUUAGUAGGAACUCAGUGCUUCCACUAGCAGGUAAGGUUAGUUCAGUAGGUGAGAAACUCUUAGGCAUGAUAGUCUCUGGACGCUGGACACUGGAGGUUUCCUGAAGAAAUACAUCAACUGUAUACGUUACAGAGCUUUUGGUAGAAGAACGAUCAUGAUGCUUAGACUGGGCUUCACAAAUGCUGGUAGAGUCCUUGGACUCAUUACAGCAAAAUUCUGUAUCCUUUUGAGGACAGACAAAACUUGGAAAAGCCUCGCUGCAUGUAGCUCAUGAUAGUGGAGCUAUAACAUCAUGAAUCAUCGGUAUUUUGGGAUAUAAGACAACAGACUUUAUUUUGUCCUUUAAGAUGACUUUUCUCAAUUUUCUUUCUGGGCUCGGUGGUUUCCUAUGAGAUUCAAUAGGUCUGAAAUAGUAAGAACCAAGGGAAUUUCAGUGCUCUCUUUCCUCACGCAAGAGAGAAACCUGCUCCUCCUCAUGAGAAAUACAGAUGGAUCUCUUAGUCUGAAGUCAGAGAAGAAUAAGGGAAACAGAAUCCAGUCGUUCUAGAGGUUCGGUCCCUUUCCCACAGGAAAAAAUAUAUUAAUAGCACGAGCAGCUUUACAAAAAGCUUUGAAACAAAGGCAAGAGAAUUAGACAUACGCUUUAAUCUUGGCGUGCUGCCAUCCAUUUCUCAAGGACGACUAUAACGGAAUGUAUAACCAGCUAUUUUGUCUCCAUCAACAAGAAAAGAAAAAAUAUGAAGAAGAUAUCUUUUUACUCCAUUUCUUAGAGAUUCUAGAAGUUUAUAAAUCUGUAAAAGCAAUGCUGAAUCAGUGCACUGAAAUGCCCUGUAUUACUCAUAGUGGUUUAUUGAUCUGUUUAUCAAACACAUCAAGAGAACUUACUUAAUAUAGAUAAUGUUCUAAAUGCUCUUAAAAUAAGGUAGAAACAGAAAAUUAUGUGACAAUCACACACACGCACAAACACAUAAUUGGAGAUUUUGCUGUUUCUUCUCUCCUGGGUUCAGGUUACUGUCUCUCAAAACUGAGAUGCGUGAUCCAUGACUAGUUAUCGUAAUUGGUCUGAAUCCCUGUACAGAUCUUCCUCAACUUACAGUGGGUUACAUCCUGAUAAACUCACCAGUAAGGUAAAAAUAGCAGAUGUCAAAAAGGUAUUUAAUACAGCCAACCUACUGAACACCACCGCGUGGCCUGGCCUCCCUUCAAUGUUCUCAGAACGAUUACUUUGGCCUAAAGUUGGGCAAAAUCAUCUAACACAAAAAGCCCAUUUUAUAAUUGAGUGUCGACUAUUUCCUGAAAUUUAUUGACUACUGUACAGAAAGUGGGAAACAGAAUGGUUUUGUGAGUGUGCAGGUGUUGUGAGUGUGCAGGUUGGUUGCCCUUUUUAGUGCAGGUUGACUGGGAGCUACGGCUCAGUGCUGCUGCCCAGAAUCAGGAGAGAGUAUCUUACUAUAUGUGGCUGGCCUGGGAAAAAAGCAAAAUUCAAAAUUCAAAGCACUCUUUCUAGUGAAUGUGUGUCACUUUUGCAUCCCUGUAAAGUCAAAAAGUUUUAAGUCAAAUCACUAGGUUGGGGACAACCUGCAUAUAAGAGAUUAAACUUACUGCAUUCAUCAUAAUACUCUACUUUUUAUCCCAUGACUGAAGUUACUUUCUAGUUCUAUACACUUGCAUAUUUUAAAAUAGCGUUGGGCUCAGAGUGGAGAAGGACACGUAACUCCCUCGAUGUUGGCUCUUAACACAGCCCAUUUGGUUUUCACCCAGCCGCCUUUCUCCUCCUUGGAAACCCAGGACAGGAGACGUCCUGUAUCUGCCGUCCCACCUGCCUCGUCCUGCUCACCUACCCUUCCCAUUCGAGCUGGGAAGUGUGUCCUUGAGUUCCUCAUCAAGACAGACCCCAGUCUGUGUGACCCCACGUAUCUCUUCCUCUCGAGCUCUUUAUGAAUAGCCUGGUGUUUACCACUGCCCCAUGUCCCAAAUUCUCACUUUCUUUGGGUCAAAGACAGAUCGGUUUUAAAGCUUACCUUACGUAGAUAUCAUGCAUCCACUAUGAAACCGCAGAAGAACAGUGAGGAUUACCCAAGAGAAAGUGCACGAAAUGUCCAGAGCACAGCAGUUGGUUUGCAAGACAGGGUAGGAUGCAUCACACACAGGGAGAAGCUGGCGUUCCUAAGGACCAAGACAGGUCAUUCAUAGCAGCAGACAGUCAGCAGUAACGCUUGACCUCAGAGGCAGAUGGGUGGGCAGACAUGUCCAUGGGAUCCUCUCUGGCUUCUUUUUGUCAGUGAAAUUGGAAUCUAGGUUUCGUCUAAGGGUGGGCUUGGGGGAAGAGUGGCAGAGGCUUUCAUUGAGAGCACAUCUAAAUUAAUUUUAAGGAAACUGAGACAGGAAGAGACUUUGGAAUUAUUCGUGAUACGAGGGGCUCACUUGAUAUCGUGAAUAGGAAUUCCAAGUGAGACCAGCAGCUUGGUCAUAGGAGGUCUCUUUGGUAGCACAAGUGUAAGCCUGGAGUGCUCUGUUACGUAAAUGAGCCAAAAAAUGGCCUCUCUGACCCAGAAACCAUUGGUGUCAGAGCCUGUGGGAUUGCUGUCCCCAGGAUUACAGAGAUGAUGACCUGUGUGGCCGCAUGCUAUAGCCAUAGCCAUUUAAAAAUAUUUGCUGAUGUGAUAAACGAGAGGACAGAAGCAUCCGGAUUAUCUACAAAUAUAAAGCAUAAACGUAAUUUAAAAAUGAGUGGGAAAUGAGAGGACAUGGGUGAGAGAAAUGGGGAAAGUAUUAGAGGGCAAAGCAAAAACAUGAAAUCUCGUCAGAGCCUUUUUUUUCUGCUGUGUAGCAGUAAAUGAUGCCAAAAGAGUAACGGAGACCAGAUUACAAAGGGUCCUGUUGUCACUUUGGACAUGGUCCCCUGUAACAGACAGAACGUAACACUUUGUAUAAGAAAGCGUAUCCACUUUAACUCAGUCAUACGCCACUUUUUUUAAAUGAUAUUUUAAUUUUGUGGCCACACCCACUGCAUAUGGACGUUCCCGGGCUAGGGAUUAAAUAUGAGUCACAGCUUCAGCCUACACCACAGCUGCAGCAAGGCCACAUCCUUGAACCCACCGGUGCUGGAUCAGGGAUCACAUCUGCCCCUCUGCAGCGAACUGAGCUGCUACAGUCAAAUUCUUAACCCACUGCACCACAGCGGGAACUCCUGGACACACUUCAUUUUUAAAUCUUGGUUAAGUAAAUAAAAUGUGGAGCCAGAGAUAUUCAGAUUCAGAUCGAAUGUCACCUUCCAUUUGCUAUACGAUUUCACAUAAAUCAUUUGAUCUGCAGUUCCCUUUGUCUCUGCAUCUUUUUAGUGGUGAGGUUGUAUUUCUAAAGGCUGUUUUGAACAUCAGUGAGGGGGAUUUCUGAGCACUAAACAGGGCCCUAGAAAAUGGUGACCUCUCAGGGGGUAUGUACAUAAUUCUUUUGGGGGGUUCUGUGUUCUUUCUAACAUUUUUCUGUGUAUAUUAUCAUAUCAAAGCACUCAGCAGACCUUUGGGAAGUAAAAAUGUCCUUAUUCAUUUUCUUAAGGGAUAGUUAAUGUUAAUUACUCUCCCUGCAAGUAAUUUAGUCCUGUACUUCGGGAAAAGGCCCCAUACCCUAGAGGAUCGCCAAGUCCCCUGCCACCUACACCCUUGAAUCCAGUGGGAUUGGGUGUUGGGUAUAAGCCAGCUCACGUUCAGUGAGCAUCCUCCUUCGCAUCUGCUCCUUACACAAGCUGGCUCCCUGGAUGAUUCUUAGCUUCUAAUUUGGGUGAGUUGAUAGAGAUAAAGGUCAGGAAAAGAGAGGAGGGGGCUACAUUCCAAACAUCGGCUUUUAAAAUUAUGAGAUCCUCAAAAAGGUAAUUCCCAGCUCUUCGAAUAGCCUUAGUACAAUUAAAAAUAAAUAGCAUAGACAUAUAAUAGACUAAAAAGAUUCAGUGGAGCCUUUUUCCAUUACCGAUGUGAAUAUGUACCUCUUGAUUAGCUAAACUCUAAGGAGCAAAUGGUUAUGGAAACCCCACGUGAGAAUGAACGUAGCAUUAAAGCUGAUUGACCUGGACAGGCUUUGAAAUCAAGACAGUUGGGAGCAACAAGCAACCGUUUUCCUCCCACUUAAUAUUAGAUGUUGAUCGAUCAUGGCAAAUAGUGUUUGUGGAAGAAUAUUUAAGAGGAAAGCGAAAAAAAUGUGUGUGUUUGUUGCGGUGAUCAGUUGGGCAAGAAUGGGCCAUAAACAACCUCUUCUGUUUCCUCUGUUUUCAUAAUAUUUCAGACGACUGCAUUCUCUCAGCCACAUUAGCUGUUAUUGUUUUUGAUGUAGCUCAUCUGCAGACUAGUUAAGCUGUGCAGAUAAGAGAGAGCAGAGUGUGGAGAAAGACUUCCAGACUAAAACGUUAUAGGACAAAAGUUCUCCUGAGUGGGUUUUCCAGAGGAAGUGUGCUGAAAUCUCUGCGUCUACCGUUUCUAUGCUCAGGCCUCAAUUCCUGGCUGGAAGCUUAGAAAGUCUGAUAAUU
RNAcentral lists this long non-coding RNA (5647 nucleotides) under Sus scrofa (pig). Its description in RNAcentral is "lncRNA (ENSSSCG00000056091.1)". Lineage: Eukaryota; Metazoa; Chordata; Mammalia; Artiodactyla; Suidae. The record is from RNAcentral.